This 910-nucleotide long non-coding RNA is filed under the name Nicotiana benthamiana. Its description in RNAcentral is "long non-coding RNA (NBEN_LNC002560)". Lineage: Eukaryota; Viridiplantae; Streptophyta; Magnoliopsida; Solanales; Solanaceae. The record is from RNAcentral.
CUGGAUCAAAUUGUUUGUGUCGAUCAAGUCGUCAAUAGUACUAAGUACGCAUGCGUUCCCUUUAACAUGUUGCUCUUAAAUAUUUUGUACGUAAGAGUGCUGAUUGUCAGCAUUAUGCUUAUUUGAUUUCUUGAUUAAUUUAUGUGUUAAUCUCCAAAAAAAGAGAGAGAAAUUGUACAAACUGAAAGAAAUGUCUGGUGCUUGUAGGAGAACAUGUCAAUUAUGAUUCUGGAAAAAUUCUCUCUAGCAUGUACUUUAGACUAUAUUACUUUAAUACAGCAUCAAUUCGAUUGUGUAUGGUGGUCAAAUAUAAAAAAGAGAAAAACCAACAUGUUUUAGAGUAAUCUUACUCCGAAGCGCAAUCCCAAUAGUAUUUUGUAUUUUUCCUAAUUAAUUUUCUCAUUUAAAAACAAGUUCUGCAUUUAUGAGCGUCGGAAUAUGGCCAGUCCUGAAACUGAAUAAAAGUGAGAUAAUGUGAGAUUAUAAUGAAGUUAAUUGAUGUUUUUCAAAAAGGUCUUGAGUCUCUCUGCCAAGGCAGGCAGUGUGACUCAAAUGAAGAUUUUAAUAUUGAAUAUGUUCCUGAGAUUUGAAGCAUAACCAUUUGUUACAUUAGCCGUGGCCACCAACAUAGUGUGCACCAAAAACAUCAGCAAAAGAAGAGAAUGCAUUGUUUUCCAGAACGCAUGUUCAAAUUUUGUCUCCGAGGAAAGGAGGGUAGUUGGCCUAUCGGCCUAUCCUUUUAGCAAGAUGAUUGAUUGGAGGGAAGGAUGCUGGGGUCUAUUUGGAAACAACCUCUCUACCCCAGGGUAGAGUUAAGGUCUGCGUACAUACUACCCUCCCCAAACCCCACUAUGUGAGAUUAUACUUGGUUGUUGGUAUUGUUGUUGUUGUUGUUGUUGUUGUAUAUCAG